This is a long non-coding RNA of Aricia agestis (brown argus), 343 nucleotides long. RefSeq lists it as uncharacterized. The transcript is spliced from 2 exons. The record is from RefSeq and is a predicted model, not a curated record. NCBI's taxonomy places the organism in Eukaryota, Metazoa, Arthropoda, Insecta, Lepidoptera, Lycaenidae.
CCUGAAUCCCUCUAAAUGAUCCAUUACUACAUUUUCCAGGAAAAGGAACCCAGUCCUUGCUACAUACCUUCUGAAAGGUCAAGUUAUACCAAGAUGUCAUGUCGUGCGAGACCUUGGUGUCUACCAUGAUGAAAAACUAAUGUUUGAUGAACAUAUAGAUAAAAUCAUUGCGAAGGCCUCAAAAGCCCUAAGCUUCAUCAUGAGGAUCAAGAAGAUACAAUCCUCCACUUACUUGUGAAACCUACAGUACUAACUAUAGAGGUAACUCAUUCCUGGUGCGAGCAAGCAGAUCUUUUAAUUAUCUUUGCAAAGAGCUUAACUUAGAUCCCUAUACUACCAAAAG